This 819-nucleotide ribosomal RNA is filed under the name uncultured eukaryote. RNAcentral's name for it is "partial 16S ribosomal RNA". It matches the Rfam family "Bacterial small subunit ribosomal RNA", at positions 509 to 1397 of the family's 1533-position model. The record is from RNAcentral.
CAGCAGCCGCGGUAAUACAUGAGUAACAAGCGUUGUUCGUAUUGAUUGGGUGUAUAGGAUGCGUAGGUUCCUAAAAUAAUUCAUAUAUACUAAAAAAGUUGUUUUUUAUUGUAUGUUUUAUUUUGUGGUAGAGUUUUUUAGGAAAAAAUAGAAAUUUUAAAUUAGUGAUAAAAUACUUAUAGUUUAAAAUUACUUCUAAAAGCGAAGGCAAUUUUUUAUAAAAGACUGACACUCAUGCAUGAAAGUAUAGUUAAUGAAUAGGAUUUGAGACCCUACUAGUCUAUACUGUAAAAUAUAAGUAUAUUUUCGUUUUAAAACGAAAUAUUUAGCAAAAUUACUUCACCUGGGUAGUACAACCGCAAGGUUGAAACUCAACAAAAUUGGCGGGAAUUUGUUCGAACGGUGGAAUAUGUGGUUUAAUGCGAUAAUCCACGCAAAACCUUACCAACAUCAUAAGCAUAUAUUUACAGUUUUUAUAUUAUUUUGUAUUAUAUUUGCAUGGCAUUGCAUGGCUGUCGUCAGUUCGUAUCGUAAGAUGUAAAAUUUAGUUUUAUUUACGAACGCAACUCUAUACAUAAAUGUUAUUUUUUUUAUGUAUAUGACUGAAGUCAAGUCUUUAUGAUCCUUGUAUGUUGGGCUACACACGUGUUACAAAGGUAAAAACAAAGAGUCGCUAAAAAGUAAUUUGAAGCCAAUCUCCAAAAAUUACCUUAGUUCAGAUUGUUCUCUGAAAUUCGAGAAUAUGAAGUCGAAAUCGUUAGUAAUCGUAAAUAGUAUGUUACGGUGAAUUAAUAGUCAAAUUUUGCACACACCGCCCGU